Molecule: ribosomal RNA, 1578 nt
Filed under: Bandicota indica (Greater bandicoot rat)
Lineage: Eukaryota; Metazoa; Chordata; Mammalia; Rodentia; Muridae
Description: 16S ribosomal RNA
Rfam family: Bacterial large subunit ribosomal RNA
Source: RNAcentral
ACAAAUUCUAGCCCUAAAACCAAUCAAUAUAACUAAACUACUAUAUAAAUUAAAACAUUCAAAUCAAAAAGUAUUGGAGAAAGAAAUUUACCUACCAGGAGCUAUAGAGAAAGUACCGCAAGGGAAUGAUGAAAGAAUGAUUUAAAGUACCAACAAGCAAAGAUUAAACCUUGUACCUUUUGCAUAAUGAGUUAACUAGAAAAAACUUAACAAAAAGAAUUUAAGCUAAGAACCCCGAAACCAAACGAGCUACCUAAAAACAAUUUCAUGAAUCAACCCGUCUAUGUAGCAAAAUAGUGGGAAGAUUUUUAGGUAGAGGUGAAAAGCCUAACGAGCUUGGUGAUAGCUGGUUACCCAAAAAAAGAAUUUCAGUUCAACUUUAAGUUUACCAUAAGAACAAAAAAAAACAAAAUGUAAACUUAAAUUAUAGCCAAAAGAGGGACAGCUCUUUAGGAAAGGAAAAAACCUUAAAUAGUGAAUAAACACCCAACAACUAAUUCAACCAUUGUAGGCUUAAAAGCAGCCACCAAUAAAGAAAGCGUUCAAGCUCAACAUUCAUACAUACCCCACUCACUAAUUCCACAAGCCUUAAUAAAUUCCUAUAUUAUAAAUUGGGUUAAUCUAUAAACCCAUAGAUGAAAUACUGUUAAUAUGAGUAACAAGAACUAAUUCUCCUAGCACAAGUGUAUGACAACCCGGAUAACCAUUGUCAGUUAUCGAACUAUAGGUACUAACCCAACAAUAAAACUACCUAACAUUCACUCGUUAGCCCAACACAGGUGUGCUCUAAGGAAAGAUUAAAAAAAGUAAAAGGAACUCGGCAAACACGAACCCCGCCUGUUUACCAAAAACAUCACCUCUAGCAUAACAAGUAUUAGAGGCAUUGCCUGCCCAGUGACUAAAGUUUAACGGCCGCGGUAUCCUGACCGUGCAAAGGUAGCAUAAUCACUUGUUCCUUAAUUAGGGACUAGAAUGAAUGGCUAAACGAGGGUCCAACUGUCUCUUACUUUUUAUCAGUGAAAUUGACCUUCCAGUGAAGAGGCUGGAAUAUUACAAUAAGACGAGAAGACCCUAUGGAGCUUUAAUUUACUAGUUUAAUUUAUAUAAAAACAACCUAAUGGCUCAAAACAAAACAAAUAUAAACUAAAAAAUUUCGGUUGGGGUGACCUCGGAGAAUAAAAAAUCCUCCGAAUGAUUUUAGCUUAGACCCACAAGUCAAAGUAACUUCAGUAUCUCAUUGACCCAAUUAUUGAUCAACGGACCAAGUUACCCUAGGGAUAACAGCGCAAUCCUAUUCAAGAGUUCAUAUCGACAAUUAGGGUUUACGACCUCGAUGUUGGAUCAGGACAUCCCAAUGGUGCAGAAGCUAUUAAUGGUUCGUUUGUUCAACGAUUAAAGUCCUACGUGAUCUGAGUUCAGACCGGAGCAAUCCAGGUCGGUUUCUAUCUAUUAACAAUUUCUCCCAGUACGAAAGGACAAGAGAAAUGGAGCCACCUUCACAUAAGCGCUCCCAACCAAUUUAUGAACAAAAUCUCAAUAAAAUAUAUAUGUACAAUAAAUUUAAACCUAGACCAGGUU